Molecule: long non-coding RNA, 350 nt
Filed under: Brassica rapa (field mustard)
Lineage: Eukaryota; Viridiplantae; Streptophyta; Magnoliopsida; Brassicales; Brassicaceae
Description: long non-coding RNA (BRAP_LNC005267)
Source: RNAcentral
AUCCUCAAGACUAAACCAAAGGAUAAAUACCAAAGGGUACCACUCCCCAUUGUCAGUCUUCGACCGACAAGGCAGGCCCAGAGCAGUUGUGAUUCGAGCCAUCGCUUAGGUCCAACGCGAAGGGGCAUUUUUUAUCAAUUUUUUCAUACUAAAUUUAUUAUUAUUUAUAACUAAACCAAAUUUAAAUAAAAAUAAUAGUAAUAAAUGUAAAGCUUUUACUCCUGUUUAUGAAUUUUAUCAACAAAUUUAUUGAUUAAGAAUAUAAUCAAAUUAUUAUUAUUUUUAAAGCCUAUAAACCUUAUAUUAAUUGAGAAUUUUAAAAAGAGUUUUUUUUAAAUGCUUAAAAUGCA